Molecule: ribosomal RNA, 450 nt
Filed under: uncultured bacterium
Lineage: Bacteria
Description: bacterial SSU rRNA
Rfam family: Bacterial small subunit ribosomal RNA
Source: RNAcentral
GUGGGGAAUUUUGGACAAUGGGCGCAAGCCUGAUCCAGCAAUGCCGCGUGUGUGAAGAAGGCCUUCGGGUUGUAAAGCACUUUUGGCAGGAAAGAAAUAGUGCGUGCUAAUACCAUGCGCGAAUGACGGUACCUGCAGAAUAAGCACCGGCUAACUACGUGCCAGCAGCCGCGGUAAGACGUAGGGUGCAAGCGUUAAUCGGAAUUACUGGGCGUAAAGCGUGCGCAGGCGGUUUUGUAAGACAGGUGUGAAAUCCCCGGGCUCAACCUGGGAACGGCACUUGGGACUGCAAGGCUAGAGUGUGUCAGAGGGAGGUGGAAUUCCGCGUGUAGCAGUGAAAUGCGUAGAGAUGCGGAGGAACACCGAUGGCGAAGGCAGCCUCCUGGGAUAACACUGACGCUCAGGCACGAAAGCGUGGGGAGCAAACAGGAUUAGAAACCCCGGUAGUCC